RNAcentral lists this transfer RNA (73 nucleotides) under Candidatus Melainabacteria bacterium RIFCSPHIGHO2_02_FULL_34_12. RNAcentral's name for it is "tRNA-Ala". It matches the Rfam family "tRNA". From Rfam's summary of the family: Transfer RNA (tRNA) molecules are approximately 80 nucleotides in length. Their secondary structure includes four short double-helical elements and three loops (D, anti-codon, and T loops). Lineage: Bacteria; Bacillati; Candidatus Melainabacteria. The record is from RNAcentral.
GGGCCCAUAGCUCAGUUGGUAGAGCGCUUGCAUGGCAUGCAAUAGGUCGUCGGUUCGAUCCCGAUUGGGUCCA